CCAGACUCCUACGGGAGGCAGCAGUGGGGAAUAUUGGGCAAUGGGCGCAAGCCUGACCCAGCAACGCCGCGUGAAGGAAGAAGGCUUUCGGGUUGUAAACUUCUUUUCUCAGGGACGAAGAAAGUGACGGUACCUGAGGAAUAAGCCACGGCUAACUACGUGCCAGCAGCCGCGGUAAUACGUAGGGAGCAAGCGUUAUCCGGAUUUACUGGGUGUAAAGGGCGCGUAGGCGGGAUGGCAAGUCAGAUGUGAAAUCCAGGGGCUCAACCCCUGAACUGCAUUUGAAACUGUCGUUCUUGAGUACUGGAGAGGUUGACGGAAUUCCUAGUGUAGCGGUGAAAUGCGUAGAUAUUAGGAGGAACACCAGUGGCGAAGGCGGCUUACUGGACAGUAACUGACGUUGAGGCUCGAAAGCGUGGGGAGCAAACAGGAUUAGAUACCCCCGUA
RNAcentral lists this ribosomal RNA (447 nucleotides) under uncultured bacterium. Its description in RNAcentral is "bacterial SSU rRNA". It matches the Rfam family "Bacterial small subunit ribosomal RNA", at positions 331 to 792 of the family's 1533-position model. The record is from RNAcentral.